Molecule: long non-coding RNA, 221 nt
Filed under: Medicago truncatula (barrel medic)
Lineage: Eukaryota; Viridiplantae; Streptophyta; Magnoliopsida; Fabales; Fabaceae
Description: long non-coding RNA (MTRU_LNC004481)
Source: RNAcentral
UUAGAACAAGGUGGAUACGGUCGAUAUGGAGCAUAACAUUUAGGGCAUGUGCACCAUUGAGGACAUUGUUGGAUCGGUGGUGUAGGAGGCUUCUCAGGAGGUGUAGGAGGCUUCUUAGGAGGUGUAGGAGGCGUACAACCAUUACACUUCUUGUUGUCACAAUUGGAGCAAUUACAUUUACACUUACCAUCACACUUUGAAUCUUCACAUUUAAAGCAAAU